RNAcentral lists this ribosomal RNA (274 nucleotides) under uncultured bacterium. RNAcentral describes it as "partial 16S ribosomal RNA". It matches the Rfam family "Bacterial small subunit ribosomal RNA", at positions 523 to 796 of the family's 1533-position model. The record is from RNAcentral.
AUACGAAGGGGGCUAGCGUUGUUCGGAAUUACUGGGCGUAAAGCGCGCGUAGGCGGAUUGAUCAGUCAGGGGUGAAAUCCCGAGGCUUAACCUCGGAACUGCCUUUGAUACUGUCAGUCUCGAGUUCGAGAGAGGUGAGUGGAAUUCCUAGUGUAGAGGUGAAAUUCGUAGAUAUUAGGAAGAACACCAGUGGCGAAGGCGGCUCACUGGCUCGAUACUGACGCUGAGGUGCGAAAGCGUGGGGAGCAAACAGGAUUAGAAACCCCAGUAGUCC